AGUUCUGUCUUCCUGAGGCUGCUGUUUCUGGGCAUGGCCAGGGGAUCUUCAGACUUUACAAACCAGUUGUGCAGAGCCAGGCAUUUCAAUAAGGAACAAAAUGCUGAGUAACAACAUGAAGUCAGAGUGUUGCUUGCCAAGAGCUGGGAGGCCUGGGUGGUUUCCCAAUCUUAAAGAAGCAGAAGGAUAUUAAAGUGAGCCUCCCAAAGGAAAACGUGGAUCUACUUACCAACGCAGAAAAUGAUACACACGGAUUCGAUUUAGGCACGCUACAUUCAAAUGACUUGGAAGAGCAGGUUCUCUGAGCCAGGAUACUAAAGUCCCUGUUUAGGAAAGAGCCACGUUGUAUGUUUACCCUACCACAAAGAUACAGUCAUGUGCCUGGGAAAGAUUGAUGCCAGCUCCAGAAAGGCAUCCGAAUGGUCUAAGUAAUGCCAUCCAUCUGUCAGUAAUAGAUUCAGAAAUGGUGCUGGCAGAGGAAACAGCAGCAAUGAUGCUCUGCGAGCCUGACUCAGGGCCAGCAGUGAUGGCAGCCCAAGAAUUCUGGAGGAAAGUGGCUCUGGGAAUUGAACAGUGGCUCAGUGAUGUUGGGGCCACCAAGUCUGCAAUUCUCCCUACCUGUUCUUCAUGGUUGUAAGAUGACUGCUGCAAUUCUCGGCAUCAUGUGCAUGUUAAUGUCAGGAGGAAGAAAGGAAGAGGGAGCACUGGGAUGUUACAUUCAUUUUGUCAGGAAAAGCAAAGCCUUUCCAGACAGCUCCGAAACUUGCUUACCUCUCAUUGGCCAGCACCAUCACUUGACCACUUGUCCACUCCUAGCUGCAAGGAAAGUGGCAAAGUAGAAGGUAUUUGAGAAUGUCUGCUGGGUUAGCCAAAACAAUAGUGACUUCUACACCCAAUUUUCUGGGCACUGCAGAAGUAUCCUUGAGUCCUAUGUGAUCAGAGGGAGAGCAAACCUCAAUAAUGAAACAGAUUCAAUUUCCAUCACCCAGUGAGACACCAUGGGAUUAGAAUAAAUUUUUAAAAAAACAAAUUGAAAAAAAUGCAUUUUUAAAACAACAAAAUCAGAAAGGAUGAAAGGUGAUAUUUCUAGCAUAUCAGUUUGUGGUGGUAAAUUAAUUACCUUAUACAAAGGCCUCAGUGACUUUCUUCUCCUUACCUAACGAAUCAUCUUUAAAAUAAGUAAAAUAAAGAAACAAGAGCAGCAGCAGAUGCUUCCUAAAAAGAAGUUACCAAAUCUGUUCACCACAAACCUGAGAAUUCAACUGUGGACAUUUGGACACCAGCAAUGAACAUGAAACUCAGCUUAUGAGGCAUAUUUGGCUAAAGGUCAAGGUGACUUAAAGUUCAUCAUAGGACAUCUACAAUUUGCAAAGCAGGUGACUGGAUAUGGACUCCUUCCAAGUCUCAUUUAAUUGGAUAAUGCCUACGUUUUAAGUAUCAGAAGUGAGUCUUUCUCUAUUAAAUGAAGUCAGUUCCACUAAAACCUAAAUCUUGUUUGGCAGGCACUCCAUGUUUCUUAAUUUUUAUUCCAUGCUGUAUAUUCUUUUAGACUUGAUUUUCACUUUUUUUUCUUUUUUCCUGUACAUUUAUCUUUGCUGUGAAACAAAGUGCCCUGCUUUGAAGGACAGGUUUGUGGGCUGCUGGUGGUGAGACAACAGCAGUCCUUCCAAGUCUUCCUCCCAUCACUCUGUUAGCUCUCCCUUUGUUUUUAAUUAGCAUUACACCAGUUAAUUCUGUUAUCUCUUAACCCUGGUUCUGCAUCCUCUUCUUCUUUUCUAUUCCUUACUCCGCUCCUGUUUUUUCUUGUUCUGCUUUUCCAAGAAAUGUCUUGUCUCCUCAUCAGUUGACUGUCUUCUCUUUCCAGAGGGACCAUAAAGGUGCCAGCCUAAGGAACACGUAAAACGUGGGAACAGACAAACAAGCUGCUGCCUAUUACAGAGAUAGAUAAUUAACUUUGGACCAUUACAUGCAAUUCAUCAGCUUAUCUUUUUCAAACUUUAUAUAAGAAGUCAUUUCCCAAUGGUAACCACUUGCCAGCUGCAACUUUGACGCAUAUUAUCAGGAUAGGUGAGAUUGAUGGGGGCCCUUUGAACUCUUCCCAGGGAAUUAUCUUUAUAAUGUUACAGUUUUCUCUAUAGCAUGGUCAUAUUGUUAACAUUGGUUAUAAGGUCAUAUGGUUAGUAUGGUUAGUAUUGGUGGCUCACAGCUGUAAUACCAGCACUUUGGGAGGCCAAGGUGGGAGGAUCACUUGAGCCCUGGUGUUCAAAACCAGCUCUGGAAACAUAGCAAGACCUUGUCUCUACAAAAAAAAAUUAAAUAAAUUAAAA
Molecule: long non-coding RNA, 2327 nt
Filed under: Homo sapiens (human)
Lineage: Eukaryota; Metazoa; Chordata; Mammalia; Primates; Hominidae
Description: HSALNT0320451
Source: RNAcentral